GUCAGCAGGCCACAGUGCAUGGAAUGCCCUUAGGAAAAACCAACAGGAUCAGUCCUCAAAGCAAAGCACAACUUGCAUUUGCCUUUGCCCCCACAAUAGACAGUAAAUAAAGGCAGUGAUCAAACAGGGCAGGACUUAGGGGGGCUGGGACAUCGCCCUGGGGGGAGCUGCUCCCACAGCAGGCUGCACAGCUCAGCAUGCAGGCGGGUCCUGAAUACUUCCAUUGAAGGAGACCCCACACCUCCCUGGGCAGCCCAUCCCAGUGCUCCAUCACCCUCGCCAUGAAGAAGUUCCUUCACAUUUUGGUGCGGAACUUCCUGUGCUCCAGUGUGUGGCCGUUUCCCCUUGUCCUGUCCCCACAGACCACUGAGAUGAGGUUGGCCAUGUCCCUUUGUCUCCCACACUGAAUAUAUUUAUAAGCACUAAUCACAUUCUUUCUCAGUCUUCCCCAGGCCGAGCAGCUCCACGUCACGCAGCCUUCCCCCACAGGGAGAUGCUCCAGGCCUUCUCAGCUCUGUUAUCAGGAUGCCAUGGGAGAUAACACCAAAAGCCUUGCUGACAUCCACUUGCACCAAAAGCCUUGCAGAUGACAUCCACUCCUCCCCCCGCACCUACCCGGCUGGUGAUGCCAUCAUAGAAGGCUACGAGAUCUGCAUACUGCUCCCACCCAGCAGCUCCAGGACCCCCCCCUCACCCAGAGGGCAGCUCUCCAUUCCUGGACUCUCCCUGUUCCCCCCGGGGUCCCAAGAGGGUGGUCUUGGAAGUGAGAACUGUACCAAAGAAGGCACUCAGCAUCUCCACCUCCUCAGCACACCUCCCCUUGUUCCACAGGGUACCUUCUUACUUCCUCAUCAACACAGCAAUUGGGGUUUCGUGAGUGGAACAAAUGUGCAACAGCCCCGAGCUGCGAGGAGGAGUCAGGAGAGAGAUUCCGUGCAGUGCUGCAGCACGGUGCAUCCGCAGGGCACUGCCCACAGCACCGUGCACUGCCUGCAGCACCGUGCACUGCCUGCAGCACUGAGCACUACCCGCAGCACCGUGCAUUCCCUGCAGCACCGUUCUCUACCU
RNAcentral lists this long non-coding RNA (1068 nucleotides) under Gallus gallus (chicken). RNAcentral describes it as "long non-coding RNA NONGGAT005102". The record is from RNAcentral. Lineage: Eukaryota; Metazoa; Chordata; Aves; Galliformes; Phasianidae.